UACAGAGGGUGCAAGCGUUGUUCGGAUUUACUGGGCGUAAAGGGCGCGUAGGCGGUCGUGACAAGUCACUUGUGAAAUCUCCGGGCUUAACUCGGAACGGUCAAGUGAUACUGUCGGACUAGAGUACAGAAGGGGCAACUGGAAUUCUCGGUGUAGCGGUGAAAUGCGUAGAUAUCGAGAGGAACACCUGCGGCGAAGGCGGGUUGCUGGGCUGAUACUGACGCUGAGGCGCGAAAGCCAGGGGAGCGAACGGG
This 254-nucleotide ribosomal RNA is filed under the name uncultured bacterium. RNAcentral describes it as "partial 16S ribosomal RNA". It matches the Rfam family "Bacterial small subunit ribosomal RNA", at positions 524 to 776 of the family's 1533-position model. The record is from RNAcentral.